Molecule: ribosomal RNA, 497 nt
Filed under: uncultured bacterium
Lineage: Bacteria
Description: partial 16S ribosomal RNA
Rfam family: Bacterial small subunit ribosomal RNA
Source: RNAcentral
GAUGAACGCUGGCGGCGUGCCUAAUACAUGCAAGUCGAGCGAACAGACGAGGAGCUUGCUCCUUCGACGUUAGCGGCGGACGGGUGAGUAACACGUAGGUAACCUACCUAUAAGACUGGGAUAACUUCGGGAAACCGGAGCUAAUACCGGAUAAUAUUUCGAACCGCAUGGUUCGAUAGUGAAAGAUGGCAUUGCUAUCACUUAUAGAUGGACCUGCGCCGUAUUAGCUAGUUGGUAAGGUAACGGCUUACCAAGGUAACGAUACGUAGCCGACCUGAGAGGGUGAUCGGCCACACUGGAACUGAGACACGGUCCAGACUCCUACGGGAGGCAGCAGUAGGGAAUCUUCCGCAAUGGGCGAAAGCCUGACGGAGCAACGCCGCGUGAGUGAUGAAGGUCCUCGGAUCGUAAAACUCUGUUAUUAGGGAAGAACAAACGUGUAAGUAACUGUGCACGUCUUGACGGUACCUAAUCAGAAAGCCACGGCUAACUACGUG